GACGAACGCUGGCGGUGUGCUUAACACAUGCAAGUCGAACGGUAAGGCCCUUUCGGGGGUACACGAGUGGCGAACGGGUGAGUAACACGUGAGUAACCUGCCCUCAUCUCUGGGAUAACAGUCGGAAACGGUUGCUAAUACUGGAUAUGAGCUUGCAAGGCAUCUUGUGGGUUGGAAAGAUUUUUUGGUUGGGGAUGGACUCGCGGCCUAUCAGCUUGUUGGUGAGGUAGUGGCUCACCAAGGCUUCGACGGGUAGCCGGCCUGAGAGGGCGACCGGCCACAUUGGGACUGAGAUACGGCCCAGACUCCUACGGGAGGCAGCAGUGGGGAAUAUUGCACAAUGGACGGAAGUCUGAUGCAGCAACGCCGCGUGCGGGGAUGACGGCCCUUUCGGGUUUGUAAAA
Molecule: ribosomal RNA, 404 nt
Filed under: Arachnia propionica
Lineage: Bacteria; Bacillati; Actinomycetota; Actinomycetes; Propionibacteriales; Propionibacteriaceae
Description: bacterial SSU rRNA
Rfam family: Bacterial small subunit ribosomal RNA
Source: RNAcentral